Molecule: ribosomal RNA, 919 nt
Filed under: Sauertylenchus maximus
Lineage: Eukaryota; Metazoa; Nematoda; Chromadorea; Rhabditida; Telotylenchidae
Description: SSU rRNA
Rfam family: Eukaryotic small subunit ribosomal RNA
Source: RNAcentral
AAAGAUUAAGCCAUGCAUGUAUAAGUAUAAACGACUUGAUCGUGAAACCGCGAACGGCUCAUUAUAACAGCUAUAAUUUACUUGAUCUUGACAACCUACUUGGAUAACUGUGGUAAUUCUAGAGCUAAUACAUGCACCAAAGCUCCGACCGUAAGGGAAGAGCGCAUUUAUUAGAACAAAACCAAGCGGCUUCGGCCGUCCAAUGUUGACUCAGAAUAACUAAGCUGAUCCCAUGGUCUUGUACCGGCGACGUGUCUUUCAAGUAUCUGCCUUAUCAACUUUCGAUGGUAGUGUAUCUGACUACCAUGGUGAUGACGGGUAACGGAGGAUAAGGGUUCGACUCCGGAGAAGGGGCCUGAGAAAUGGCCACUACGUCUAAGGAUGGCAGCAGGCGCGCAAAUUACCCACUCUCAGAACGAGGAGGUAGUGACGAGAAAUAACGAGACCGUUCUCUUAAGAGGCCGGUCAUCGGAAUGGGUACAAUUUAAACCCUUUAACGAGUGUCUAUGAGAGGGCAAGUCUGGUGCCAGCAGCCGCGGUAAUUCCAGCUCUCAAAAUGCAUAGAAUUAUUGCUGCGGUUAAAAAGCUCGUAGUUGGAUCUGUGCUGGCCUCCCGGUCCACCUUCGGGUGUGCACUGGUGAGGUUGGCUUUCCUGCCCAUUUUUCGGUCAGUGCCUUUAACCGGGUGCUGGUCGUAGUGGGCAAGUUUACUUUGAACAAAUCAGAGUGCUCAAAACAGGCGUUUCGCUUGAAUGUUCGUGCAUGGAAUAAUAGAAGAGGAUUUCGGUUCUAUUUUAUUGGUUUUAUAGACUGAGAUAAUGGUUAACAGAGACAAACGGGGGCAUUCGUAUUGCUACGUGAGAGGUGAAAUUCUUGGACCGUAGCAAGACGAACUACAGCGAAAGCAUUUGCCAAGAAUG